This 859-nucleotide ribosomal RNA is filed under the name uncultured organism. RNAcentral describes it as "bacterial SSU rRNA". It matches the Rfam family "Bacterial small subunit ribosomal RNA", at positions 463 to 1316 of the family's 1533-position model. The record is from RNAcentral.
AUAUGUUUGACGGUACCAUUGAAUAAGCCCCAGCUAACUACGUGCCAGCAGCUGCGGUAAUACGUAGGGGGCAAGCGUUAUCCGGAAUCACUGGGCGUAAAGGGUCCGCAGGUGUCCCGUUAAGUUAGAUGUUAAAUCGCAAGGCUCAACCUUGCGGCUGCAUCUAAUACUGACAGGAUAGAGGAUAGGUGACGGAAGUGGAAUUCCUGGUGGAGAGGUAAAAUCCGUAGAUAUCAGGAGGAACACCCGUGGCGUAGGCGGCUUCCGAACCUAUUCCUGACACUCAGGGACGAAAGCUAGGGGAGCAAACAGGAUUAGAUACCCUGGUAGUCCUAGCUGUAAACGAUGAAUACUAGAUAGUGGGUGCUACACCGUACUCACCGUCGUAGCUAACGCGUUAAGUAUUUCGCCUGGGAACUACGAUCGCAAGUUUGAAACUCAAAGGAAUUGACGGGUCCCCGCACAAGCAGCGAGGCAUGUGGCUUAAUUCGAUGCAACACGAAGAACCUUACCUGGACUUGACAUGUUUCUGAAAGGCCGGAGAAACCCGGUCCCUUCCAGUUUACUGGAACAGUUUCACAGGUGGUGCAUGGUUGUCGUCAGCUCGUGUCGUGAGAUGUAAGGUUAAGUCCUUAAACGAGCGUAACCUUUGUCAUUAGUUGCCACCGGUUCGGCCGAGCACUCUAAUGAGACCGCUAGCGACAAGCUAGAGGAAGAUGGAGAUGACGUCAAAUCCUCACGUCCCUUAUGUCCAGGGCCGCACACAUGCGACAAUGGUAGAGACAGCGGGUUGCGACGGGGUAACCCUGAGCUAAUCCAUGAACUCUGCCUCAGUACAGAUCGAGGGCUGAAAUUCGAC